Molecule: ribosomal RNA, 253 nt
Filed under: uncultured bacterium
Lineage: Bacteria
Description: partial 16S ribosomal RNA
Rfam family: Bacterial small subunit ribosomal RNA
Source: RNAcentral
UACGUAGGGACCAAGCGUUGUUCGGAUUUACUGGGCGUAAAGGGCGCGUAGGCGGCUUGUCAAGUCACUUGUGAAAUCUCUGGGCUUAACCCAGAACGGCCAAGUGAAACUGACAUGCUAGAGUGCAGAAGGGGCAAUCGGAAUUCUUGGUGUAGCGGUGAAAUGCGUAGAUAUCAAGAGGAACACCUGAGGUGAAGACGGGUUGCUGGGCUGACACUGACGCUGAGGCGCGAAAGCCAGGGGAGCGAACGGG